UACGUAGGGGGCUAGCGUUGCUCGGAAUCACUGGGCGUAAAGCGCACGUAGGCGGCUUUCUAAGUCAGGGGUGAAAUCCUGGAGCUCAACUCCAGAACUGCCUUUGAUACUGGAGAGCUUGAGUCCGGAAGAGGUGAGUGGAACUGCGAGUGUAGAGGUGAAAUUCGUAGAUAUUCGCAAGAACACCAGUGGCGAAGGCGGCUCACUGGCCCGAUACUGACGCUGAGGUGCGAAAGCGUGGGGAGCAAACAGG
This 253-nucleotide ribosomal RNA is filed under the name uncultured bacterium. RNAcentral's name for it is "partial 16S ribosomal RNA". It matches the Rfam family "Bacterial small subunit ribosomal RNA", at positions 524 to 776 of the family's 1533-position model. The record is from RNAcentral.